RNAcentral lists this ribosomal RNA (253 nucleotides) under uncultured bacterium. RNAcentral describes it as "partial 16S ribosomal RNA". It matches the Rfam family "Bacterial small subunit ribosomal RNA", at positions 524 to 776 of the family's 1533-position model. The record is from RNAcentral.
UACGUAGGGACCAAGCGUUGUUCGGAUUUACUGGGCGUAAAGGGCGCGUAGGCGGCAAUUCAAGUCAUCUGUGAAAUCUCCGGGCUUAACUCGGAACGGUCAGAUGAUACUGCUUUGCUCGAGUGCGGAAGGGGCAAUCGGAAUUCUUGGUGUAGCGGUGAAAUGCGUAGAUAUCAAGAGGAACACCUGAGGUGAAGACGGGUUGCUGGGCCGACACUGACGCCGAAGCGCGAAAGCCAGGGGAGCAAACGGG